Molecule: non-coding RNA, 69 nt
Organism: Phrynosoma platyrhinos (Desert horned lizard)
Lineage: Eukaryota; Metazoa; Chordata; Lepidosauria; Squamata; Phrynosomatidae
Source: the annotation of a GenBank genome assembly
GAUAGUGGUAUAGUGGUUUGAUCAUUGGACUACAACUCUAGAGACCAGAGUUCAAAUCUCUGCUUGGCC